Molecule: non-coding RNA, 73 nt
Organism: Zootermopsis nevadensis
Lineage: Eukaryota; Metazoa; Arthropoda; Insecta; Blattodea; Termopsidae
Source: Rfam
GCCACGGUGGUCUAGCGGUCAGAACACUAGCCUUGUAAUGCUGGGGUCCCGGGUUCAAUUCCCGGUGGUGCUC